CGAAUAUCAUAAACACCUAACUUUUGAUAUUUUCAGUUGCACCUGUGUUAUAUAUCUAAAAUAGUAAAUGUAGACGAUGUAAAUAUAACUUUCUUCUCUCCUUACAUGUUGCUCGUACAAAAAUACAAGGUCUUUUUCUGUGUCCUGUGGUGGCCAGUGCAGUGAUUUCAAAGCUUUCCUGCCAUGUACCACUGUGAAGGAUCUGGCUCUGUCUCCUUGCUGGACUCCCUGUAGGUACAAGGAGCUGGUUCAGGUGGUUCAUGGCCAUCUCUUCUCUAGGCUGAACAAGCCUCACUCCCCCAGCCUCUCCUGACAGGACAAGUGCUUCCAAAUUGCUGUUGGAAAUCCCUGUGUUGGCAAGAAACCACAUCGUAUUUACUCUGUCAG
Gallus gallus (chicken) is the source of this 387-nucleotide long non-coding RNA. Lineage: Eukaryota; Metazoa; Chordata; Aves; Galliformes; Phasianidae. The record is from Ensembl.